RNAcentral lists this long non-coding RNA (1130 nucleotides) under Homo sapiens (human). RNAcentral's name for it is "HSALNT0046096". Lineage: Eukaryota; Metazoa; Chordata; Mammalia; Primates; Hominidae. The record is from RNAcentral.
AUUUCCCAGAGACUUUAGAAUGGCAGCAAGUAAACCACAAUGAUCUUGGAGCCAAAGCGUCUGUGGUCACCAUGUAUACACAGACAUAGACGCAUUGUCUUCUACUUCCGAAGAUGAUUUUCUCAGCAGAUUUUUCCCCCAUUGUGCCCGCACUGUGGCAAACACAAGAGGACAUGAAUGGUUGGCGGUGCAGUGUGGUGGAAGUGCAUUGCAGUGGAUCCCAAGGAAACCAGAGGCAAAUUCUGGCUCUGCCACUAGCAAGGCUCUGUGGCUAGGGUACCCCUGUGGAAUUCAGCCUCCUCAUCCGUGAAAUGAAGAAGUGAAACAAAAACAUCUUAAUGUUAUUUCUAACACCUGCUUUCUCUGGAUUCAGCAUCAGAAUAUAUCCAGAUAAGACUGCAAACAACUGAGAGAGCUAAUUCUUUGCUGUUGGGGUGAACUCUGAUACUUAGUGUCAAUAAAAACUCUAUGGUGCCCUGGACAUUUCAGAUAACAGAUCAUCCAGCAGAGUCUGUAGGAACCAGGGAUUCCUCACCUACGGCUCAGUGAGACCAAGAAUGUUUAAAAGCCUGCCGUGGUCUCCCCAUCCCUGCAGGGAGCUUCUACUAAACUGUGAGAAACAUCAGAACAAGAACUGAAGAUGUCUUCGGGUUUUUUUGUUACUGUUUGUUUGAGACGGAGUCUCACUCUGUCACCACGCUGGACUGCGGUGGCAACCUCUCAGCUCGCUGCAACCUCCACCUCCCGAGUUCAAGCGAUUCUCCUGCCUCAGCCUCCCGAGUAGCUGGGGCUACAGGUGCAUGCCAUCAUGCCCAGCUAAUUUCUGUAUUUUUAGUAGAGACGGGGUUUCACCAUGUUGGCCAGGAUAGUCUCGAUCUCUUGACCUUGUGAUCUGCCCGCCUCAGCCUAAAGAUGCCUUCUUUGCAAGUAUGUUUGCAAUGCUCCACAACUAUUUAUUGAAUGAACAAGUGUUUGAAGAAUCCUUGACUUUUGGAGGAACCAUAUGACCUUGGGAAUGCUCACCAAUGACAAUUUUUCACUCUGAAUCAUAAUGUGAGAGCAGAAAAUUAUCAAAACAUGUUUGUAUUUCACAUUGAAAUUAAUUGAAUAAAUAUAUAAUUCAUCAUCCU